AAUACCGCAUAAGCGCACGGAGCCGCAUGGCUUAGUGUGAAAAACUCCGGUGGUGUAAGAUGGAUCCGCGUCUGAUUAGCUGGUUGGCGGGGUAGAAGCCCACCAAGGCGACGAUCAGUAGCCGGCCUGAGAGGGUGAACGGCCACAUUGGGACUGAGACACGGCCCAAACUCCUACGGGAGGCAGCAGUGGGGAAUAUUGCACAAUGGGGGAAACCCUGAUGCAGCAACGCCGCGUGAGUGAAGAAGUCAUUCGUGAUGUAAAGCUCUAUCAGCAGGGAAGAAAAUGACGGUACCUGAGUAAGAAGCCCCGGCUAACUACGUGCCAGCAGCCGCGGUAAUACGUAGGGGGCAAGCGUUAUCCGGAUUUACUGGGUGUAAAGGGAGCGUAGACGGCCAGACAAGUCUGAAGUGAAAAUCCAGCGCUUAACGUUGGAAGUGCUUUGGAAACUGCCGGGCUAGAGUGCAGGAGGGGCAGGCGGAAUUCCUAGUGUAGCGGUGAAAUGCGUAGAUAUUAGGAGGAACACCAGUGGCGAAGGCGGCCUGCUGGACUGCAACUGACGUUGAGGCUCGAAGGCGUGGGGAGCAAACAGGAUUAGAUACCCUGGUAGUCCACGCGGUAAACGAUGAUUACUAGGUGUCGGGGGGCUAGAGCCCUUCGGUGCCGUCGC
Molecule: ribosomal RNA, 670 nt
Filed under: uncultured bacterium
Lineage: Bacteria
Description: bacterial SSU rRNA
Rfam family: Bacterial small subunit ribosomal RNA
Source: RNAcentral